GACGAACGCUGGCGGUGUGCUUAACACAUGCAAGUCGAACGGUAAGGCCCUUUCGGGGGUACACGAGUGGCGAACGGGUGAGUAACACGUGAGUAACCUGCCCUCAUCUCUGGGAUAACAGUCGGAAACGGUUGCUAAUACUGGAUAUGAGCUUGCAAGGCAUCUUGUGGGUUGGAAAGAUUUUUUUGGUUGGGGAUGGACUCGCGGCCUAUCAGCUUGUUGGUGAGGUAGUGGCUCACCAAGGCUUCGACGGGUAGCCGGCCUGAGAGGGCGACCGGCCACAUUGGGACUGAGGUACGGCCCAAACGCCUACGGGAGGCAGCAGUGGGGAAUAUUGCACAAUGGACGGAAGUCUGAUGCAGCAACGCCGCGUGCGGGAUGACGGCCUUCGGGUUGUAAACCGCUUUCAAUUGUGACGAAGCUUUUUGUGACGGUAGCAGUAGAAGAAGCACCGGCUAACUACGUG
Molecule: ribosomal RNA, 466 nt
Filed under: uncultured bacterium
Lineage: Bacteria
Description: partial 16S ribosomal RNA
Rfam family: Bacterial small subunit ribosomal RNA
Source: RNAcentral